CACCAGGGUGUCCCGCAAAGACCCUCGGCCAGGAAAAAAACAAAAACAAAAACAAAAACAAAAAAACAACAAAAAAGCCGCUCCUGGGCAGUGAUGCGCCCCCCACCCAACCCCGACCCCCCUCCUCCCCCCACGGGGUCGGGAGGUGGGGUGCCCUCGGGGGCAGACAAACCACACAGCCAAGGGAUUCGAAUUAACUCAGCCAUUUUUGGAGAACCUUGGGGAAAAUGGAAAAUUUAAAAAAAAAAAAAAGAACAUUUUUAAAAGAAAAACGGGGAGAAAAAAAAUCGCUUCUAUUGAUGAGUUUUAUCAUCUCAAUCGAAUCUUUCCUUUCCCUGGUGAACGCGAGCUGGUGGCCCGUGUGUGGCGGAGAAGCGGGAAGUGAAGCCGAAACCCAGCGUCCCACACAGACCUCCACCAGACACUCAUACCCCACACACGUUCUCAGACACACACAGGAGUGCUUGCUGGUUAUACCAAACCCUACUAUUACUGCCUGCAGAAAUCAAUUUAAAAAAAAAUAAACAAUUUUAAAAAGGACAAAAAAAUUAAUGAUUGAGAAAAGAAGCAUUUUUUCUGACAUUUGGUCCUGCUUGAAAUAACAAAAGAAAAAAAAAAAAAACCACCACCACCACCGAUUUCCUUUGCUUCUUUUUUCCUUUUUCCUACCUUGUUUGAAAACUGUGGGCUUGGGACUGUGAAUUACUGCAUGACAUUCAAAAAGAAAAAAAAAAUAAAAAAGUUGAAUCAAAGGGCUUUUGAUUGGACUGGUCUUUAUCCCUCUGCAAAGUGCUCCCCAGGUCUCUUUUGGGGGAAUGGUGGAAGGAGGCCCUUUGAAAGUGUUUGAAAGUAGCCAAGGAAGCUGUGACUCUAAUCAUCCAGUCUUUGCCAUGUCUGAGUGUCGCUCCAGACCCAGCAAAGAACAAGGCAGACAAGCUCUGUUCCUCACCAAGCUUAGUGUCCAGAGCUCUAGAAAUCCUGACUGCCUUAACAAGCCCAAGAAAGCCAAGGCCAAAGAUGUUAUCCAGGUCCUUGCCAGCUGUCCCGGCUGGAAGGCAGAGCAGUGGACCCCACCGCCACCCCAUGCCUCCGCCCUCAAGCACCCAGGUCUCCUGCAGUCUGCCCGCCAACCAAGUUCUACCUUAAAGUAACCAUCCUGGAAGAUAAACCAUCUUCGAAUGACCGUCCUUUAAAAAAUUUUUUUUCUUUAUUUAUUCAUGAGAGACACAGAGAGAAAGGCAAAGACAUAGGCAGAGGGAGAAGCAGGCUCCCUGCAGGGAGCCCGAUGCGGGACUCGAUCCCAGGACCCUGGUAUCAUAACCUGAGCCAAAGGCAGACACUCAACCGCUGAGCCACCCAGGUGCCCCCUUGACCGUCCUGUAUGAUCAGGCCAGUGAGACCCCAGGGAGCACCUGUGAGGCCCCAAACAUUAGCAGAACUCCUAUCGAAAAUACCCUGGCAGCUGGUGGGGAGUCCUAGAGGUCAAAGGUCAGAGCAGCCCACCCGUGGGUGGCAGGGGAUGGCCAUGGCCAGCUUAAGAUGCAGGCAAUGUAUCUGAGGUACAGAUAAAGGUGAAGUUCAUACAAAGGGACUGAUAACCUAGCCUCCCUCCACCUUCAAACCCACCCAGUGCACCUGCCACACGCUCCCACUCCAGCCUUACGGAAGCUGCCCUACAGAUGAAGAUGGUAGAAGACUCCCACCCUGCCUCCCAUCCCCAGGCCUCACCUCCUUGCCUAUUCUGUGAAUGCUUCUGUGAAUAUGGGCAAGAGCUACAAAAUUGUAGUCCGUGAGACUAGGAGGUCAGAAGACUGUGUUGAUUCAGGUGAGCAAAAGGCCGCUUAUAAGCCCUUGUUCAGGUUGAGCUAAAAGGCCUCUCUUUGAUCUGUAAGGGCAGCUCCUGGUUCUCCCUAGAAAGGGCUUCAGAGAAGCCCACAAAAUCUGCAGACACGGAGAAGGGGAUGGUCCUCAAGGAAUAUCAGGGUACCGGAGAAGGAAAAUCAGAGGCCAGGCAGCAGGAAACUAACCACAGACUUUUGGGUCAGUCACUGGACCCUGAGGAGCUCGGCACCACCACCCUCCCUAGAACCACUCCCACCACCUCAGCUCCAGUCUCACUGACUAUGUGAUCUUAGGAAAGUGACUUAACCUCUCUGUGCCUCUGUUUUUCCAUCUGUAAAAUAGAAAUGAUAAUAAAGACUGCAUAUGAAAA
RNAcentral lists this long non-coding RNA (2212 nucleotides) under Canis lupus familiaris (dog). Its description in RNAcentral is "lncRNA (ENSCAFG00000056134.1, ENSCAFG00805025484.1)". The record is from RNAcentral. Lineage: Eukaryota; Metazoa; Chordata; Mammalia; Carnivora; Canidae.